AGUAGAAGGGCAGGCUUUCUUCCAACUGAGGAAUAUUUCCAAAUUAAGAACACUAGUGUCAAAGGGUGAAUUGGAGAUGAUCAUUCAUGCUUUCAUUUCCUCACGCUUAGAUUACUGUAACUGUCUUUUUACCUGUUUGAGUAAAAAG
Sander lucioperca (pikeperch) is the source of this 148-nucleotide long non-coding RNA. RefSeq lists it as uncharacterized. The record is from RefSeq and is a predicted model, not a curated record. The transcript is spliced from 3 exons. NCBI's taxonomy places the organism in Eukaryota, Metazoa, Chordata, Actinopteri, Perciformes, Percidae.